GGAUUUAAAAAAGAAAACUGAUG
RNAcentral lists this small nuclear RNA (23 nucleotides) under Arabidopsis thaliana (thale cress). RNAcentral describes it as "snRNA_04617". The record is from RNAcentral. Lineage: Eukaryota; Viridiplantae; Streptophyta; Magnoliopsida; Brassicales; Brassicaceae.